Molecule: transfer RNA, 88 nt
Filed under: Streptomyces lasiicapitis
Lineage: Bacteria; Bacillati; Actinomycetota; Actinomycetes; Kitasatosporales; Streptomycetaceae
Description: tRNA-Pro
Source: RNAcentral
CGCCGGGCACGCGGGCGAGGUGGUCGCGCAGGGUGCGGCCGGUGUCGCCGCCCGCGAAGCCGGUCACGGUCACCUCGUGGCCGAGCGC